AUACGGAGGAUCCGAGCGUUAUCCGGAUUUAUUGGGUUUAAAGGGUGCUCAGGCGGGGGAUUAUGUCGGCGGUGAAAUUUUGCAGCUCAACUGUAAAAGUGCCUUCGAAACUGGUUUCCUUGAGUGUGGAUGAGGUAGGCGGAAUUUGUGGUGUAGCGGUGAAAUGCAUAGAUAUCACGAGGAACUCCGAUUGCGCAGGCAGCUUACUAAACCAUAACUGACGCUCAAGCACGAAGGCGUGGGGAUCAAACAGGAUUAGAUACCCUGGUAGUCCACGCAGUAAACGAUGAUUACUGGCUGUUUGCGAUAUAAUGUAAGCGGCUGAGCGAAAGCGUUAAGUAAUCCACCUGGGGAGUACGUUCGCAAGAAUGAAACUCAAAGGAAUUGGCGGGG
Molecule: ribosomal RNA, 393 nt
Filed under: uncultured bacterium
Lineage: Bacteria
Description: partial 16S ribosomal RNA
Rfam family: Bacterial small subunit ribosomal RNA
Source: RNAcentral